Molecule: RNA transcript, 5242 nt
Organism: Zeugodacus cucurbitae (melon fly)
Lineage: Eukaryota; Metazoa; Arthropoda; Insecta; Diptera; Tephritidae
Gene: Ltn1
Gene name: E3 ubiquitin-protein ligase listerin
Exons: 18
Source: RefSeq, a predicted model, not a curated record
UGAUAACUUUCAUUUCUAUAAACGAUAGUUUAAAGUAUUUUCGACACAUAUUUGUUUUAAAAGUACGCCAACUUGUAUAUGAAGUGGUGUUGCUGCAAAACGCAUGUGUGAAAGAUGGAUAACAAAAGAAAGAGUACAUUUAAAGUUAAAAGUAACUCCAAACCUUCGAGCAGCAGUCGUAGUGCUGAACUUCUUGGGACACAAACUAUUAUUUCAUUCCCCACACAAUCUAAGAAAAACAAUCGGUCAAACGAAAUAACGCAUUUCUCUGACGCUACAACUAAUACAACCCUCCAUAAUGCCAUUCGUAAACUUAAUAAAAAAGACCCAACUACUAAAAAAAAGGCUUUGGAAGAGCUUAUUCAUGAUAUAAAUAAGGCGAAUGUCGAAGAAAUUGUGACAAUUUUACCGCUCUGGACUAAGACCUACAUUGAAUUAGCAUAUGAUCCGAUACACAACAUACGUGAACUUACACAGGAAGUGCACAAUAUACUUGUUUCGAAAUGUAAACGCAUGAUAGCCCCAUACCUAAAGGAAUUAGUACCCGUUUGGAUUUGUUCUCAAUUUGAUAAUUACGUUCCUGCUGCUAAUAUUGCGCGGUCCAGCUUCUUUAAUAUUUUCAAUGCAAAAACAAACCGUGUUAAGGAAGUUUGUUUACAUUGUCAAUCAGAGAUACUAGAAUACGUUUUUAAUAAUAUUUCAGAACCGUCAGAUAACAGAAAUGGUACUGACAUUUAUGUGUGUUAUAAUAAAGUUUACGGAAGCCUCGAAGUCCUUUCAUUUUUUGUCGAACAAACGAAACCCGCAGAUCUGUCUUCAAAUUCACAUAUUAUAAUACGUUCCCUUAUGGAGAAUAAAUCCUUUUGGAAAUGGGGAAGAAAUGACAAUAAAUUAACAAGGAGAGCAUGGUUCAAAGCAAUACAGAAUAUGAUUUUAAACACAUCUCUAAGCGCUAUAAUUUUUGAAUGGAAAAAGAAUAUUAUUGAUAUAUGUUUUACUGGAAUUAAUGAAAACGAUCGAAUGUUAUCUCUCCGUAUGUGGCAGUGCAUACUACUAGUGCAAUCAACCUAUGAUGACUGGUAUAAAUUUUUGGACUUCAAUAGUGCGGUUGAAGCCAGACUGACGAACUUGCUUCAAAAUAAUUUCUUUAAUAACUAUGAAAACACCUGCCCUAAAAUGCUACCAUUUUGUACCGCAUUAAUGUUUGUAUCUACUAGUGAUUUCGAUUGGUAUAUUUUUAUGGAGAAAUUUCUAGAGAAUUUUAAAAAUAUUUUUUGUUCCGAAAAUUUUAAUGCUAAUGAAACAGAUUAUAAAGUUGUGUUCACUUCAUAUUUUGACUGUUUAAAUUUGGUAUUGAAUAAGAUGAAUAGUUUGGAUAUUUCGCUCGAAGAGAAACAACAAAAUACAAUUGAACUUCUACAUAAAAACAUAAUUGACCCUACAAAAUGGUUAAUUAGAGCAAAUAGAAGUAAUAUUUGUAAACUAUUUUUUGAGCACACUCUUCAAAUGUUAGCUGACACUAAAAUAGAAAGUGAACAUAAUCAACAGAUUCGAGCAUAUCUUUUAAAGGAUUUCUGGAUUUCGAUAUUUGAAUUGAUAACUUCACUAAUUACUGACCAAGAGCAUUAUCCUGAAGUGAUUAUUGAUAUAUUCCAAAAUCUAGUGAAAUUUGGUGAGGGAGGCUUUAGUACAAAAUUGGAUACAUUGCAAACAGACGUUUUAAUGGAAACUAGAAAUGAGAAUCAAUUAACAAACCUUGCUUCCGAAUUAGUUAAUCAUUGUUUAAAGCGAAUUGCUAGUAAAGAAGGCGAAAGUUGCCUAAAACACUUGCUGUUAUUUAUGGAUAUGUUUUCCGAUACCAAAUUUAAUAUAAAUAUUACAAACAACUUCGAUGUUACAAAGUCUUUAAACAUAUUUAUUGACUUAAUACCAACGGCGACUGAAAAUCUUUACGUUGAUAUUGCCGAGAUUAUAUUCAAAUUUAUAAAUUUUUUGGAUGGUGAUCAACAAUAUGAUUUUAUCAACAAUGCAUUAAUCUUCGUGUCUUCGAAAGAUAUGCGGAUUUUGAUUAUAGAGCGUAUACUGUUGCAACCAUUGAAAAUUGGUAAACGUAAGUAUAUGUUGUUAUCCAGCCCAGAUGUCAGGAAAAUAAUAACAGAUCUUACAAGAGAAGCAUUAUUUGAAAAGUCCGAAGAGAAAAUUAAUUGGUUGCAAACGCUGUUUCUACAAAAUGAUAGUGGUAACUUCUUUAUUAGUUCCACUACUGUAGAUGAGGUUAUAACCAUUAUUUUUGCGCCUUUUGAAGAAGAUAACAAUAAUGAGUUGGUUGAAUUAUGCGGCAAUAUUAUUUCCAAAGUUUUGCCGAAGAUAUUUUCUUGCAGAAGUGUUUUUAACAAAACGAAAACGAAGGCGUUCACGAAGCUAUUCUCGUUUUUGAUUCUACAUUCAGAAAAUAAUCUACUUAAGGUAGAAACAUUUUUCCAGCUGUCUAAGUGUUGGGAAAGUAUGUUAUGCGAUGAAUAUAUCGUAAAUGAAGUCACAGUUUUACAUUGCAUUUCAAAUUUGAGAACGAUGAACGCACUUACAUUGGUAAAAACAUCAAAAUGUGCAGAUUUAAUAAUUCGAUUUAUAUUCCGCACUACUACCAAGUACACUACAACUAAAAUGAAAAAUAUAAUACAAAACAAUUUGAUAAAUAUGUUUAUAACCACUAAGGACGUUUCCGCAUUGCAUGAACAAUUUAAAAACUACGUUUUAUUUAUGGAAGCUGUAAAUGGCAUGUCUACAAAACAAGAAGUGCAUUAUAAAUGUUUCGAAGUUCAGAAUAUAGUCACCAUCUUACAGCGAUCCCUUUUGAACAUUUAUAUCUUCAAACGAUUACAAGAUUCUAACGAAAUGGACAUAAUAAAUUGCAAUUUAUACCAUGAAUUGCUCAAUUGUAUAAUUUGUACAUCUGCUGCAGAAAGUGUUCUAAAGAUCAAACCCGAGGUAGGGGCUGCUCUGAAGGUUUGGAUUGAAGAACUACAAAAUCAACUUAAAUAUUUGAUACAAAAUGAGUCUAUCCUAUCCGAAAAAGUACAUGACAUUCUUCUUCGUAAUGCUAUAGAAGCUAACGAAAUCUCGUAUUUUCGUUCUCUACACAUUUUAAUUUUACAUCACCGAUAUUUGCCGUUCGAAGAAAAUGCAUCAAUCGUUUUUAACGAGGAACUGUUCAAACAUUGUAUUGCGCAAGGCGCUUUAUUAGCUUACAUUAAUUUCUUGCAGUAUCAAACUCCUCGACUGAAUUACAGAAGUAUUACAGUAAGCAACGUUUUUGAUUGUGCAAAGUCAACUGAUAUUUGGAUAAAAUGUGCAGCAUUGCGUUGUCUUGUUAUAAAUUAUUUUAAUUGCGAUGAAGGGAGAACAGGUGACAACAUUAUAAUUAAGCAGUUGUUGGAAUAUGUUCGAACAAUCAAUGAAGGACUUUUUAUAAACUUUAAAGUAGAUAUAAACGAACAAGGGUAUUCGGCCGUUAUUGAACUAAUUGAGUACAUUCGGUUGCUGACAGAAAUACUUAAAAAAAUGCCUUGGUGUCUAGGUGCUAAAGACUGGGAUAACAUCAUCAUUGGACUAGGUUCUUGGGUACCAAACGUGCACAAAUCGAUCGAAAAUAUCGUCAAUCCAAAGAUGGCUUUAUUUGUGAUAAAUGUUUGUAAACUAUUUUCUGCGUUCCUAGAGUUUAUAAAAGUCGAGAAGGACCGUAGUUCAACAAACAUGUUACAAAAUAUGGUUGAUGAGUGGGAAUCAUUAUUUUCAAAGGAUGCAAUUUGUAACAUUUUUGAAUCGUUUUAUGGUCUAUUACAUCUUCAAGAGAAGUUCACAGCCGAAUAUUUUAUGCCAUUAUUUAGUGAAUUAAAAAGAGUUAUAUUACUUUCCGAUGUCGAUGUUAUUUACAUUUUUUGCAAGAAUUCCCGAACCAUUUCUAAGAAGAAUGUUUUCAACAUUUUGCUCAAAAACUUCGCUAACUCUAACAUCUUUGUACAAAGGACAUGCUAUCAUAUUUUACGAGAGCUGACACAUGCAUAUGUUGUGGACGACAUUAAGAGUGUUCAUUCAUUAAAUGAAGACUCGAGUCUUGGUGUACAAAGUCAGCAUUAUUUAAAGUUAUUUGAAGAGGCUUUAACAUCUCAACUUACUUUUGUUAAUAAGUAUAUAUCAGAAUUCAGUUUCAAAAUAUCCGAAAUAGACGAAUUCGAACCUAUUGACAGAGAAACGGUAUUUAGCUACUUCCUGAUGUGGGACUGUAUAAUUCAUACAUGUGUUAAAUCUCCACUUAAUGUACGGAAUAUAUACACUUCCUGGCUUUAUGAAAGCAGAUUUUUCGAGAAAUUCUUACUGUUUGUUAUACGGGCGAUGCCGAUUGAAGUUUUAAAAAACCAUGACAGUAAAUUUCUAUCGGGUGAAAUUUUCAACCGUCUCUCCUGGAAACAACUUAACGAUGAAAAUUUAACUCUUGAAAGGUAUGCUUGCCAUUUGUAUACAGAAGUUUUGAAAAAAUUACCUGCAGUAGUUCGGAAGUGGUGGAGUGUUUCCCCAUCCCGCCAAAAAGCUUUUGUGGAUAAGUUGACCACUAAUUAUGUUUCACCUUUAAUCUGUGAAGAGGAGUUAAAAUCAAUAGGGGCAAAUAAGGAGAGACAUGAAAAUAUGCAAGUGGCGGUUCACUACUCAACGAGAGAAGUCAUAGCGACAUAUUUUAUUGAUGAUGUUCGAACCGAACUUACGAUUACGCUUCCAUCUAAUUAUCCUCUAGGUCCGAUUAAAGUUGAUUGUGGCAAAAGUAUUGGGGGACGCUUAUCGUCUCGUACUGAUGGCAUGCAGCUAGCAUUAUUCCUAAUGCAUCAGAAUGGAACAAUAAUAGAUGGACUAGCACUGUGGAAGAAUAACUUGGAUAAAAAGUUCGAAGGUGUUGAAGAAUGUUAUGUGUGUUACACCGUUAUUAAUCAGGAUACCUAUCAAUUACCCAAACUCACAUGCAAAACUUGCAAAAAGAAAUUUCAUGGAUCGUGCUUGUACAAAUGGUUUACCACCAGCAGUAAAUCAACAUGCCCAAUUUGUCGAAACGUUUUCUAGUAAAAUGAGUCAACCAUUUAUAAAAUAUGCAAAAUAAAUUGUGGACCAGGAAAGAUGAUAUUAAUUUCAAGGAUGAAUACGAUGGAAUUUCUAGUUACAUGGUAUAUUUGAAAAGGAUUUUUCGAACCAAAUU